GGAUGGCAGGUGCGUGCCACUGUGCCGGGCUGGCUUUAGAUUUUUUUUUUUUUUUAUUGCUGUCUAAAUGACCGCGGGUCAUUGCUGUAAUGCACACUGCAGAACUGGGGGCCAGUCAGAGCUGGGGACACGCUUGGGGUCUGGGAUGUGGCUUGGAACACCUGCAGGGAGAGGGCAGAGACGGCCGGCAUGGUGUGACUCCAGAGCUCCUGCCGUGUGAGCCCCGGCGGCCCCAGUGGACCGCUCCCUCACGCCCUCUGUUCUGCAGCACCCCACGUCUGACGGCCCCACAGCGUGGCUCCUGGGGCAGGUUCACCUGUACGUCUCCUCCUUGGGGCUGGGUCUGUGGAAGGGCCCUCUGUCUUCGUUCCCCCCGCUGGGCUGCCGUCCUCCGGGCUGGCCAGCCUGGGGGAACUCGGGAAGGCGGGCAGGGCUCUUUCUACCUGCCGGGCACCAUCCUGGAACCAGGUCCCCAUUCAGGCAUUUCCAUUCUCCUCCAGGAACAGGCAGGCCGUCCCUCCCUGGCCAUCAGGGGACUCCAGCCCCUGGUCAGAGAGCUUGGGAAGGGGACAUUCACGUGACCCAAGGCAGGCCAUGAGACCCAAUCCUGGGAAUGUAGCUCUCUUUCUUCGGGGAGCCCGGGCUGGCAGGACAGAAAGCCGGAGUUCCCGGAGUCGGCCGCGUGGACAGCUUAAGCCAAGAUGAAGCCAGACAGUCACAGAGCUGAGAGAUGGAGCCGGCAGGGAGACACCCGGGAACCUUGUUGGAGCACCUGGAUCCAGCUUUGCCUGAGGCCAUCCACCUCUUUUGGCUUAGGACAGCUGGCAUUGUUUCUGUACUUGCAACUGGUUCUAAGGCAGAGAGUGUGUGUCACUUCCACCUGUCCGUCUGUACACCAGUCUGUUCCGCAGGGCUGAGCACCUGCCCAUACCAACCCCUCCUGGUACCAGGCCUCCAUUUGAAAGGGGAGGUGGCAAGGUGACCCUAGAGCUUCUGCCAAGGCGAG
This 1006-nucleotide long non-coding RNA is filed under the name Marmota monax (woodchuck). Lineage: Eukaryota; Metazoa; Chordata; Mammalia; Rodentia; Sciuridae. The record is from RNAcentral.